UUAGUAACGCGUGGGAAUAUACCCUUCACUAUGGAAUAGCCUCGGGAAACUGAGAGUAAUACCAUAUACGCCCUUCGGGGGAAAGAUUUAUCGGUGAAGGAUUAGCCCGCGUAAGAUUAGAUAGUUGGUGGGGUAAUGGCCUACCAAGUCUACGAUCUUUAGCUGGUUUUAGAGGAUGAUCAGCAACACUGGGACUGAGACACGGCCCAGACUCCUACGGGAGGCAGCAGUGGGGAAUCUUAGACAAUGGGCGAAAGCCUGAUCUAGCCAUGCCGCGUGAGUGAUGAAGGUCUUAGGAUCGUAAAGCUCUUUCGCUAGGGAUGAUAAUGACAGUACCUAGUAAAGAAGCCCCGGCUAACUCCGUGCCAGCAGCCGCGGUAAUACGGAGGGGGCUAGCGUUGUUCGGAAUUACUGGGCGUAAAGCGUACGUAGGCGGAUCAGAAAGUAUGGGGUGAAAUCCCAGGGCUUAACCCUGGAACUGCCUCAUAAACUCCUGGUCUUGAGUUCGAGAGAGGUAAGUGGAAUUCCAAGUGUAGAGGUGAAAUUCGUAGAUAUUUGGAGGAACACCAGUGGCGAAGGCGGCUUACUGGCUCGAUACUGACGCUGAGGUACGAAAGUGUGGGGAGCAAACAGGAUUAGAUACCCUGGUAGUCCACACCGUAAACGAUGAAUGCCAGUCGUCGGGUAGCAUGCUAUUCGGA
Molecule: ribosomal RNA, 701 nt
Filed under: uncultured bacterium
Lineage: Bacteria
Description: bacterial SSU rRNA
Rfam family: Bacterial small subunit ribosomal RNA
Source: RNAcentral